Carassius gibelio (silver crucian carp) is the source of this 2263-nucleotide long non-coding RNA. RefSeq lists it as uncharacterized. The transcript is spliced from 9 exons. NCBI's taxonomy places the organism in Eukaryota, Metazoa, Chordata, Actinopteri, Cypriniformes, Cyprinidae. The record is from RefSeq and is a predicted model, not a curated record.
AUCAGUUGACUUUUAAUUGUUUCUUAUCUACAGAAAAUUAUACCUUACCACUUUAUUUUUGUAUUUCCUACUUUGAGGCUCUGAUAUUUUGGCGUCAUGUCCUCCUGCUGCUCAGCCUCAAAGUAGCUCUGCAUCAUCAUGGUCUUUUCGGCAGCAGAAAGCCUCAGAGCACUGGCAAAACCAAUACCACCUAAAAUGCCUUAAUUCAAAAGAGGCUGUUGGUCAUCCAAAACAAGCCUGCUGUUAUUAAGGUGCAGAGAGCGUCUUCUUGAGGAGUGGUUCUGUGUGGACUGGGAUAUAUUGCAUCACAAAAAACAGCCACUCCACAACAGGGAAAGUGUGAUUCGUGGUUUUAUGAAGCCAUUCCUCCAACCACAUGCAUCAUCAAAGGGGAAGAUGGAUAUUGCACCCAUGAGCAAGCUUGCAUUUGGCCAUCUGUGAAGAUGCCAGACUGCUCCUGUGGAGGCACAAACUUCACUGUGUUACCAGGAAAACCGGGCGUUUUGACUUGCAUCAGCCACUGUAUGAAUGUCAAACAUGCCAGCAGCAAUUGACCCCUGACUUUAAAGACCUCCUAAGAAGUGGAUAUUGGCCAGCCACCAUCAACAAUUCCACACUUUAUACACUUUAUACAACGGCGAUGCACUGCAGCGAAGCUUUUUAGAGCUUUCAUAUGCAUCAUUUGAGGAAGACCAGCUCUGCUGUAGAGCUUCUUUUCACCUUCCCAAGCCUGCACACCAGAAAUGUUGGAUUUUUUAGCAGAUGGAAAUAGAAAGCUAUAUCGCUUUCGCCGAAACAGAAGCUCUGAUGAUCCUGGCUGUUUUUGAGGGGUUCUUUGGGGCUGAAGACAGUGUGGUGUCUAAAUUUGUCGACACCACACAGAAAGCAGUGAAAGAUGCAAGUUGACAAAAUAGUUGUUACAAUAAUAACCGUAACCCCCACUUCAAUUACUUCUGCCUACCAAUUCCAAAAUCAAAUUGAGAGAAUAAAUGGCAUAUAUUAAAUGACACCCUUGCUUUAAUUUGAUUUGUCGUGUUUGUUUAGUGUGUCAUAGACACAGGGAAGAGGCACAUGUGGGGACUCCCAAUGGACAGCAGUGAGGGAAACUUCAAGGAGGGCUUCAAAAUUGGAUGAAGAGGGGAUGGGGGUUGCUGCGUGUCGCAAUGGGUUCCUUUUGAAAGCCCUUAAUAUGUAAAGGGGAGAGAUAUUUCCCUACCCUCUGUACCUUCAAAAGGACAAUUCUUCGCAAUGGACUUGGCACACAAAUACUGGUCAUACCUGGAGAAAGUUGCUAGUGUCGUUCCUGCUCUUCAGGAGCUGACCACUAUGAAACCCUUUCUCAGUGUAAUGCAUGCUCAAACCCAUGCUACUAAAUGUGAGAUUAAUUGGAGUGGCAGGAACCAGGAAGGAGCAGGGACAACCGCCGAAGAGGAGGUGGAGCAAGUGAACCGUUACCUUUCACGUUGUGCCCUAACGACCAAAUACAUGUCCAAAGCAGGGGAUCAGUUUGCAAUAUUCUUGUAUAUUUUUUUUUUUUUGAUUGAUCAUCAUAACCUCAUUAUUUGCUUUAAACAGCACGGGUGGACAUGCUUACAUUGCAUGCAAUGGGGUGGAACGAGAAAAAAAAUCUCUCUUUACAUCGGGCACUUUCCACAAGAUAUGUGAAGACUUGUCAGAGACUCCAUGAUGAGACUGCAAGGAUAGCUGACCUAAAAACAGCUAGAUUGCACAGAUGAAGUGGUGUCAGUGGCUAUCUGAUGUAAAGGAAUGGGCAGCUGGUGAGACACCUGGUACAUCUCGUGCCAGUCAAUGCACAACACACAGAGGAAUUCAGCAAUCAAUUGAGGAGCUGUACCUUAGUGUGAGGCACCGGAAAGCGAACCCUCUACCGUCAGAAUGACAGCAGCAAGUUUCGCAUUUGCCUUCGAAGGAAGCUGGAGAUAGAUAUCUUCAGGAGAUACAGAAAUACAAUGAUCUUGUACUAGAAUCGGCAACAACCAUUGACGUAGCUGUGGUGGAGCAUUCCCUAACUGGAGAGAGUACCGUUUCUCAAAUAUGGCCGUGGGAGGUUCAUGGCAGUGAUAUGUCUGUUUUUAGAUGCUUCACAGGAAUUUAUUUUCAGUUCUGCUUUAUAGAGUAUACUGAACUAAGGCAUGCAUAAUACAUAUUGAGUGUUGUAAUAUUAAUUUAGUUUAUUGGUGUAUUUUAAGAUUUCUUAUGUAUCAGUUUGAUAAAAAAGUAAAUGUUUGUAGUGAUUAUGCAA